GACAGAGGGUGCAAACGUUGCUCGGAAUCACUGGGCGUAAAGGGCGUGUAGGCGGGACAGUAAGUCGGGCGUGAAAUCCCUGGGCUCAACCCAGGAACUGCACUCGAAACUACUAUUCUUGAGUGUCGGAGAGGAAAGCGGAAUUCCUGGUGUAGAGGUGAAAUUCGUAGAUAUCAAGCGGAACACCGGUGGCGAAGGCGGC
RNAcentral lists this ribosomal RNA (202 nucleotides) under uncultured bacterium. Its description in RNAcentral is "partial 16S ribosomal RNA". It matches the Rfam family "Bacterial small subunit ribosomal RNA", at positions 524 to 725 of the family's 1533-position model. The record is from RNAcentral.